CUUAGUGGCGGACGGGUGAGUAUUGCUUAGGAAUCUGCCUAGUAGUGGUGUAUAACUUGGGGAAACCCAAGCUAAUACCGCAUACGACCUACGGGUGAAAGGGGGCUUUUAGCUCUCGCUAUUAGAUGAGCCUAAGUCGGAUUAGCUGGUUGGUGGGGUAAAGGCCUACCAAGGCGACGAUCUGUAGCUGGUCUGAGAGGAUGAUCAGCCACACUGGGACUGAGACACGGCCCAG
This 235-nucleotide ribosomal RNA is filed under the name uncultured Pseudomonadales bacterium. RNAcentral's name for it is "partial 16S ribosomal RNA". It matches the Rfam family "Bacterial small subunit ribosomal RNA", at positions 91 to 334 of the family's 1533-position model. The record is from RNAcentral. Lineage: Bacteria; Pseudomonadati; Pseudomonadota; Gammaproteobacteria; Pseudomonadales.